RNAcentral lists this ribosomal RNA (269 nucleotides) under uncultured bacterium. RNAcentral's name for it is "partial 16S ribosomal RNA". It matches the Rfam family "Bacterial small subunit ribosomal RNA", at positions 524 to 776 of the family's 1533-position model. The record is from RNAcentral.
UACAGAGGUCCCGAGCGUUGUUCGGAAUCACUGGGCGUAAAGGGCGCGUAGGUGGCCGAGCAAGGUCGCGGUGAAAGCCCGGGGCUCAACCCCGGGUCGGCCGUGGCAACUACUUGGCUUGAGCACUGUAGGGGCGGGUGGAAUUCCGGGUGUAGCGGUGGAAUGCGUAGAGAUCCGGAAGAACACCGGUGGCGAAGGCGGCCCGCUGGGCAGGAAGGCUCGCAAGAGCCGGCUGACACUGAGGCGCGACAGCGUGGGGAGCAAACAGG